UCUAAGGCUGCCCAGACUGUCCUGAUUAACUCUUCCCUGUCCAGCAUACUCCUCUUCAUGAUUAGCUUCUAUAGCCUGCCUGAGACGCUUCAUCAUGAGAUUGCCAUGGUCCAGGCGCGGUUCUUCUGGGCAGGCGAGGGUGAUAAGCAGCAUAUGGUUCAUUGGACCGAGGUAUGCAAGCCUCGUGAGCAGGGUGGGCUUGGGAUCAUGUCCUCCAAAGGCAUGAAUAUCGCUCCGCUCACCCGCUGGCUUUGGAGGAUUGCCAAUGGGGAGGUUGGCCUUUGGUUGCGCAUAAUUCAGAAUAAAUACUUACAUGGCCAGCCCCUCGGCUUCUACCAGCGGUCCGGCGCAUCACAGUUCUGGCAGUCCGUCAUCCAGCUUCUCCCGGUCCUUCGCAUCGGGACCUCUAUCGCGGUUGGCUCUAGCGCGUCCACCUUGUUCUGGUUUGAUCGCUGGGCCGGCAAGGCCCCCUUUGCUGCGCGUUUCCUGGACCUGUUCGCCAUCGCGGUCGAGCCUAGUAUCUCGGUUGAGGUGGCUCUUAUUGACGUAGGAUGCCUCGCAUUCUGGCGGCCAUUUGGGCCUAUGGACGCGAUCGCAUGGCAGGACGUCCUAGAUUUCAUCGCCUUACAUGAGGCAGAUGUGGAAUAG
RNAcentral lists this ribosomal RNA (648 nucleotides) under Triticum aestivum (bread wheat). RNAcentral describes it as "partial small subunit ribosomal RNA". The record is from RNAcentral. Lineage: Eukaryota; Viridiplantae; Streptophyta; Magnoliopsida; Poales; Poaceae.